Molecule: ribosomal RNA, 432 nt
Filed under: uncultured bacterium
Lineage: Bacteria
Description: partial 16S ribosomal RNA
Rfam family: Bacterial small subunit ribosomal RNA
Source: RNAcentral
AGCGAGCGCUGGCGGCAGGCCUAACACAUGCAAGUCGAACGAACUCUUCGGAGUUAGUGGCGGACGGGUGAGUAACACGUGGGAACGUGCCUUUUGGUUCGGAAUAACUCAGGGAAACUUGUGCUAAUACCGAAUGUGCCCUUCGGGGGAAAGAUUUAUCGCCAUUAGAGCGGCCCGCGUCUGAUUAGCUAGUUGGUGAGGUAACGGCUCACCAAGGCGACGAUCAGUAGCUGGUCUGAGAGGAUGACCAGCCACACUGGGACUGAGACACGGCCCAGACUCCUACGGGAGGCAGCAGUGGGGAAUCUUGCGCAAUGGGCGAAAGCCUGACGCAGCCAUGCCGCGUGAAUGAUGAAGGUCUUAGGAUUGUAAAAUUCUUUCACCGGGGACGAUAAUGACGGUACCCGGAGAAGAAGCCCCGGCUAACUUCGU